UGUGAAAAUGAAAUGCGGCUGUGGACAAGAUUAAAGAUUAUCACAAAUAAAAAAAAUUUGGUUUCUAAAAUUUAUCUAACUCUACCUUUUAUGGCAGAUGAAAACAAAACCAAACCCCUAAACCACAAACCCCACCUCAUUGUAUGUGAGUUGACUUUUACUCCUUCGGACUGUUGGCUGACCAAGUAAGAAGAUAGACUGAUAUUAACUCUCUCAUGCUGAGUUUUUCAUGUUCCUUAAGUGAAGGAAGGGCUGCACCACUGAACCUCUUUGCAAAGAGGCCACACGCGUCACAGCAGACAGCGGUUGCAGUGUGAAGCACCAUCCUUACCGUCUGAAGAGGGAACAAGACGACUCUUAUCAUUAAUAAACUUCUUUUGAAGCCACUCCACCACAGCUGCAGUGCAAAAAAGACCUUAAAGUACUCAGGAAUUCCAGAGCCAUGGUUCAACUGAGUCGAGUCAUGAAGUUUUCUCGGCAUCAAGAGAUGUGAUCUAUGACCAGGUAAAAUCCUCAUUCAUUCUAUUAGGCAGCAUAUACCACAGUAUUUUGCAGCCAAAAUAUUUCACAGUUCUGUUUUCAGGAUCUGUAAUUAAGAAUGGAACUGUGCACACUGAGGGCUGCAGGGUAAGAGCUUUCACUGCUCACCCAUUGUUUGUCCACUGACUGCAAACACCUUGUCGCUCAUCCAGAUUCCGAUCACCCUCACCUACCCUGUUGGGCAAGUGAACAUUUACUUUCUGUUUCAUGUCCAUACCUACAUGAGUCAAAUUUCUGACAAGUCCAUGUUGCAUUUCUUCCCUGGUCUGGGCUCUUCUGAAUCACACUCUUUCUGCCCUUUAGAAGUGAUCUGCAUCACUAGUCAGAAGAACACUUAUUUCUAAGUGGAACUUUAUGCCGAAUGUUUUAAUUCCUUACAUUCAAGACGCUGGUGAACAGUACAGCGAGGUUUCAUGCUUGCUGAAGGAGCGUGGUAGGAAACACCUUGUCAGAAACUCAUCUGUGCACCUGGCAGCAUCCCAACAGAGACCCAAUGGGGAAGAGCCCAUCCAGCAUUAUGGGCUGUUGAACUGUGUACCCCCUUCUAGCAACGUGCCAAGCCUGGGGCUGGACUGCUCUUCCUGAUGCUAUGAGCACUGCUGGCUUCUGUAACGAUACCCAUAAAAUAAUUCAUAGUAAUUGCAACAUCACUGCUAAAAAUGAUGAUGGUGCAUGAGAAAAAAGAAAGAUCUUCACCAUGAAAAGUUGUAGGCAAGCAUUAUGGAUGUUUAAGGUUUUUAAGGUGGCAAGAUGAGAAAAUGUAAGCUAGUGACAACAAUCCUUUAAAGCAUGGAGAGGGAAAGCUGGUAGUUCUAGCCACAGUGCUGCAGUUUAAAGUAUAUAGUUCAAAAUAUAAAAAACUGUUUUAUAAUACAGAUGCAUAAAACACACAUUUCUUGGUCAGUGGUGAUUUUUAAAGAGGAAAGUAAUUGCAAUCCUAAGCUUUUCACUGAAUGGAACUAUUUCUGUGUCAUUAUUCCUCGUACAACAGCUCUUUGGCUGACCUAGAGUACUACCUCCUUACAGAGACUGAGCUGAUGCUGCAAUAAGAUCUAUUUGUAAAACCCAAAACUGAGCCUUGUAUUAAAACAAAUCCCCCAUAUGGUGGCAGCCUUUUGAAAGAUAUGGGAAAAAACACCUUCCAUUUAAUGUUUGUUUUAACACAGUUGGAAAGAAACAUAGUGUAGAAUGGUUUCUCUUACUUCAGUGGGGAAAAAUGGUCAUCUGUGAUGCAGUUUCACAGGAACAGGUAAGUGAGUAAGAUUUCCUAACAGUAACAAGAUCACUUCAGUUCAGAUCUUAUUUCAAUAGGUGACUGUUUUUAGUCAUUCCAUUACUGCUCAAGUUCUUAAAAUAGUCACCCUCUUAGAUUAAGAAAUACAGACCCCACUUCAGUUACCAGUGUUGUUAAUGCUUCAGCGUAGGCUACACAGUAACUGUUGGAAAAGCUUGUUCCUUUUCCAAGAGAUAUUUCAGCUUCUAUUCAGCAAACUCUAAAAUCAGGUGCU
Molecule: long non-coding RNA, 2048 nt
Organism: Cuculus canorus (common cuckoo)
Lineage: Eukaryota; Metazoa; Chordata; Aves; Cuculiformes; Cuculidae
Exons: 4
Source: RefSeq, a predicted model, not a curated record